This 157-nucleotide ribosomal RNA is filed under the name Pyrenula quassiicola. RNAcentral's name for it is "5.8S ribosomal RNA". It matches the Rfam family "5.8S ribosomal RNA". From Rfam's summary of the family: 5.8S ribosomal RNA (5.8S rRNA) is a component of the large subunit of the eukaryotic ribosome. Lineage: Eukaryota; Fungi; Ascomycota; Eurotiomycetes; Pyrenulales; Pyrenulaceae. The record is from RNAcentral.
AAACUUUCAACAACGGAUCUCUUGGUUCUGGCAUCGAUGAAGAACGCAGCGAAAUGCGAUAAGUAAUGCGAAUUGCAGAUACCGUGAGUCAUCGAAUCUUUGAACGCAUAUUGCGCCCUUUGGUAUUCCGAAGGGCAUGCCUGUCCGAGCGUCAUUA